RNAcentral lists this ribosomal RNA (301 nucleotides) under uncultured bacterium. RNAcentral's name for it is "partial 16S ribosomal RNA". It matches the Rfam family "Bacterial small subunit ribosomal RNA", at positions 509 to 807 of the family's 1533-position model. The record is from RNAcentral.
CAGCCGCCGCGGUAAUAUGAAGGGGGCUAGCGUUGCUCGGAAUCACUGGGCGUAAAGGGUGCGUAGGCGGGUCUUUAAGUCAGGGGUGAAAUCCUGGAGCUCAACCCCAGAACUGCCUUUGAUACUGAAGAUCUUGAGUUCGGGAGAGGUGAGUGGAACUGCGAGUGUAGAGGUGAAAUUCGUAGAUAUUCGCAAGAACACCAGUGGCGAAGGCGGCUCACUGGCCCGAUACUGACGCUGAGGCACGAAAGCGUGGGGAGCAAACAGGAUUAGAUACCCCCGUAGUCCCUGUCUCUUAUAC